Molecule: ribosomal RNA, 253 nt
Filed under: uncultured bacterium
Lineage: Bacteria
Description: partial 16S ribosomal RNA
Rfam family: Bacterial small subunit ribosomal RNA
Source: RNAcentral
GACGAAGGUGGCAAGCGUUAUUCGGAUUUACUGGGCAUAAAGCGCGCGUAGGCGGCUUGGCAAGUCGGGGGUGAAAGCCCGCAGCUCAACUGCGGAACGGCCUUCGAUACUGCCGGGCUUGAGGGCGGGAGGGGUGAUUGGAACUCCAGGUGUAGCGGUGAAAUGCGUAGAUAUCUGGAGGAACACCGGAGGCGAAGGCGAAUCACUGGACCGCAUUUGACGCUGAGGCGCGAAAGCUAGGGGAGCAAACAGG